UCUUUCUUUGCUGGCGACCGGCGCACGGGUGAGUAACACGUAUCCAACCUGCCCUUUACUCGGGGAUAGCCUUUCGAAAGAAAGAUUAAUACCCGAUAGUAUAAUGAUUCCGCAUGGUUUCAUUAUUAAAGGAUUCCGGUAAAGGAUGGGGAUGCGUUCCAUUAGGUUGUUGGUGAGGUAACGGCUCACCAAGUCUUCGAUGGAUAGGGGUUCUGAGAGGAAGGUCCCCCACAUUGGAACUGAGACACGGUCCAA
RNAcentral lists this ribosomal RNA (255 nucleotides) under uncultured bacterium. RNAcentral's name for it is "partial 16S ribosomal RNA". It matches the Rfam family "Bacterial small subunit ribosomal RNA", at positions 78 to 334 of the family's 1533-position model. The record is from RNAcentral.